GCCAUUUUAGUAAAAUUUUAUUAUGUUGUUUUGAUGAGGCAAAGUUAUUUGUGGUA
RNAcentral lists this transfer RNA (56 nucleotides) under Passalurus ambiguus. Its description in RNAcentral is "tRNA-Ile". The record is from RNAcentral. Lineage: Eukaryota; Metazoa; Nematoda; Chromadorea; Rhabditida; Oxyuridae.